GGGCGUAUAGUUCAGUGGUAGAGUGUGUGCUUAGCAUGCACGAAGUCCUGGAUUCAAUCAUCAGUAACUCCA
Molecule: transfer RNA, 72 nt
Filed under: Camelus bactrianus (Bactrian camel)
Lineage: Eukaryota; Metazoa; Chordata; Mammalia; Artiodactyla; Camelidae
Also listed under: 1 other name
Rfam family: tRNA
About the family: Transfer RNA (tRNA) molecules are approximately 80 nucleotides in length.
Source: Rfam by way of RNAcentral